AAUAGUUUAUUUGAGUUUCAACCUCAAUCCCAAACAAGGUUAAACAAAUCAUCAAUUAUCCCAAGAAUUCAUUAAACUAUAGUUCUAGCUCCUCAAUGUUUUUGAAACGCAGCCCCCUCAAUUCAUCGCAUGAACAAAAGACACUACAACAGAAUAGACUUUUCAUGGUGCAAGCAUAACUUCCCCAACAGUACUCGAUUUCAUAGUUAACGCAGUCUAAUUAGGGUUGCGGCUUUGAAUUAACAAACUAGAUAAGAAAUAAUGCCAUGAAAUUUUAAUCUAGCUAGAGAAAGGUGGCGUGCCUUGCCUUUGAUUUUGAUCUAAUUAAUAUAUAGUGUAAUCAACAAUAUGGAAAUGAGCUACAAGCGUAAUUAACAACAAAAUUACCUGUCAUAAUUAACUACAACCAAUGACUGGAAUCAUUAACAACCAUCUCUAGAGUGCAACUUUCAGAAAACUGUAUGUGCCAAAGGGCAAGUGGGAGCAUUCAAAAAGGUCGUAACCCCCUCCCCUGAAGCAAUGAUGACCCCGAGAAGUGGCAGCUACCAAUCAUGAUUCAUUUCUUCUGCACUCACUCCACAUAUUUUAUGCAAAAUCAAUUCAAAAGAUAUUCCAAUUAGUAUCCGUUUUGGAAUUCAUGGUGAUUGUUGAGUACAUUAAUCAUAUAGACAGCUAGUUAUAAACACCUACAAGUAAACUCUUUCAAUCAUUUCUUUAAUUUUCUUUUUAUAUACUUCUGGUUCUAAGUUUUAACUUAUUUAUUGCUAUGGAUUGGCUCCUAGUGGCUUGAUAGAGUAAUUUUGAAACAAUUUUGUUUACAAAUGACAUCCAAAUUUACAUCUUAAAAAAAAAAAACAGUAAGAGAGUAAAAAAUUAAUUUGAAAUUAGUCUAUCCUCCUACCUUCUUUUAGAAAAAGUAAAAAAAGAGGCAAGAUAGACCGUAAACAUCAAAUACACAACUUAGGUAAAGCUAGGCUUGGCAAAAUCCGGGUCCGGUCUGGGUUUUGGUGUUGCCCGGGACCGGACCGGGUGAGAGAAAUGCAAGACCGGACCCGGGUUAAAACCCAAUUUUUCCGGGUGCGGUCCGGGCUUGAGCCCGGCACCUUUC
RNAcentral lists this long non-coding RNA (1108 nucleotides) under Citrus x clementina. RNAcentral describes it as "Citrus clementina (C. clementina) long non-coding RNA (CCLE_LNC003272)". The record is from RNAcentral. Lineage: Eukaryota; Viridiplantae; Streptophyta; Magnoliopsida; Sapindales; Rutaceae.